Molecule: small nuclear RNA, 24 nt
Filed under: Arabidopsis thaliana (thale cress)
Lineage: Eukaryota; Viridiplantae; Streptophyta; Magnoliopsida; Brassicales; Brassicaceae
Description: snRNA_10138
Source: RNAcentral
AGAUUAGGAUCUUAGGUCUAUAAA